UUUCAUGCAUCUUUAGUCUGCCAUGAACCCACAGCACUGGUCCUACUGAAAUAAGAAAGGACAAUACAGAAGAAGCAUUUGCAGCAUAUAACUGAGAAGGUGAAAAUAUGUUUUUUUUUUCCUGUGGGACAGUGUAUUUUAUGACAAAAUGAAGGGAGACAGAAAUCAGGAUACAGUACCGGAAGAGCAGGACCCCUGAUUUAUACAUUUGAUGUGAAACGUACUAUGUGCAAUCAGAGUUUUCAUCACUAUCAUCUCAUCCCAAUGCUAUUAAACAGAAAGACUAUGAUAUUUUGAUAGGAAAUGUAAUGCUGUGCAUGGAGCGUGGUGAUUACACUCCAAUAUUCAGAAAAAGACAAAUCAGGUAAGCUCUAGAGUGUUAUGAGACCCCAUCUAAAAUGAUAAACACCACCUGCUUAAGUUAUUAAGGUCAAGUCUCACCUUAGGCAAUGAAAUUUGCCAGUAGUGACCAGCAAAUGCCACUGGCAGAAUAAAGAUUCAUUUCUGCCUGCCAUGCAUUACAAUAAGGACUUCCUGUUACACAGAGAGUUCCCAGAACAGAAUGUGUGUUCACUUUCAUUUUAUGAAGGAUAUGAAGUCUGAAACUUAAAUGUAUGUCAUUAUUUAUGAAUUCAAUCCAAAGUAAUAUGUGAAAAACAUGGACUUUAUGAAGAGCAGACUAAACAUACAAGGUAAAAAUCCUGACGUUGUGUAAAAAUGUGGACUGCAGAGAAGCAAGGAAGAUGAGUGUAAAACAAAAGGGACUGUGUAACACUGUCUGACAACACUUGCUAAGUGCUUUAUGGCUUUGAAAGCUGGACAAUUUCCAUUUUUUUUCUUUUUUACUUUAACUAGUUGUACACAUAGCAGAUAAAGCUCCAUGCACUACAAAGAAUUAUGAUCAGCUAAUUGAUUAUAAAGUAUUAUGUGUUCUUGAAAUGGAUGCCAAGAUUCAACGCUUGAGUGAAUUUUCCACAACACUUCCACUAUUCAGACAAGUUAUGCUUGAAGUUAGUGGUAGGAUUAACAAAGCAAUGCAGAAAAAUAGUUUUCCCUUUAAGUGUUUUUUUUUUUUUUUUUUUUUUUUUUUUGGUGUUUUACGUUUUCAGGUUCUAAUUGUUCAUUUUGCUGGGAUCAGGUCAGCCUAAAGUGACUGCUACUCGGUCUGCCUUGAACCUUAUAAAAUAUCAGUCUGCUCUGGGAAAAGAAACUUAUAACACUACAGACUGUUAUUCCUAACUUCCUCCCUUCUGGUGACUACCGAACCUGGUCAGCCUAAAGUGACUGCUACUCGGUCUGCCUUGAACCUUAUAAAAUAUCAGUCUGCUCUGGGAAAAGAAACUUAUAACACUACAGACUGUUAUUCCUAACUUCCUCCCUUCUGGUGACUACCGAACCUGGUCAGCCUAAAGUGACUGCUACUCGGUCUGCCUUGAACCUUAUAAAAUAUCAGUCUGCUCUGGGAAAAGAAACUUAUAACACUACAGACUGUUAUUCCUAACUUCCUCCCUUCUGGUGACUACCGAACCUGGUCAGCCUAAAGUGACUGCUACUCGGUCUGCCUUGAACCUUAUAAAAUAUCAGUCUGCUCUGGGAAAAGAAACUUAUAACACUACAGACUGUUAUUCCUAACUUCCUCCCUUCUGGUGACUACCGAACCUGGUCAGCCUAAAGUGACUGCUACUCGGUCUGCCUUGAACCUUAUAAAAUAUCAGUCUGCUCUGGGAAAAGAAAGUAGGUUUGAACGCUGUAAUACUGACAAAUUUGGGCUCUUAGUGGGUCUUCCU
Protopterus annectens (West African lungfish) is the source of this 1787-nucleotide long non-coding RNA. RefSeq lists it as uncharacterized. The transcript is spliced from 4 exons. The record is from RefSeq and is a predicted model, not a curated record. NCBI's taxonomy places the organism in Eukaryota, Metazoa, Chordata, Ceratodontiformes, Protopteridae.